Long non-coding RNA from Nerophis ophidion (straightnose pipefish), 554 nucleotides. RefSeq lists it as uncharacterized. NCBI's taxonomy places the organism in Eukaryota, Metazoa, Chordata, Actinopteri, Syngnathiformes, Syngnathidae. The record is from RefSeq and is a predicted model, not a curated record. The transcript has 4 exons.
CUCCUAGUGGUCCCCUGCAGAACUGACUAAUUUAGUCCAGUGCACGUCAGUGACGUCAUCCUGCAAGCGGCGGAACUCAGUCGAACUACUAAAACUCACCGGUCACGCCAUAAAGAGCCAGAACUCAGCUUCCAAACAAUGCGAUGGUUCAGCGUGGCGCACAGGAAGUUGUUGACUUGAGGCACCUAAAAACACCCAAAUAAGGAGAAGUGGAGCCUGCGGCUUAAUUUGACUCAACACGGAGAACCUUACCUGGCCCGGACACGGAAUGGAUUGACAGAUUGAUGACUUCAAACCCGGUGCGCCUAAUAAUCGGGUCAGGGUCCAAAGGCAUGGAGUCCAAGACGACUGAAGACCCUUUUCUGCUGCAGCCUUCUUUCGCCAUCGCAGCCAUUGUGGUAGUUCUUCCAUCUGCUCUGCUGUUGAGGUCUUCGCCGUAUCCCUGGCUAGGGGUCAGUCAGGUACUAGGCCUUUGCCAAGGGCCACCUGAGGUAACAAUAGUAAAGGAAGGGGUUAACAUCCUAUUGCCCCAAGACCCCAUAGAGGAGCCUCCA